Molecule: ribosomal RNA, 433 nt
Filed under: uncultured bacterium
Lineage: Bacteria
Description: partial 16S ribosomal RNA
Rfam family: Bacterial small subunit ribosomal RNA
Source: RNAcentral
AGCGAACGCUGGCGGCAGGCUUAACACAUGCAAGUCGAGCGGGCACUUCGGUGUCAGCGGCAGACGGGUGAGUAACACGUGGGAACGUACCCUUCGGUUCGGAAUAACGCUGGGAAACUAGCGCUAAUACCGGAUACGCCCUUUUGGGGAAAGGUUUACUGCCGAAGGAUCGGCCCGCGUCUGAUUAGCUAGUUGGUGGGGUAAUGGCCUACCAAGGCGACGAUCAGUAGCUGGUCUGAGAGGAUGAUCAGCCACACUGGGACUGAGACACGGCCCAGACUCCUACGGGAGGCAGCAGUGGGGAAUAUUGGACAAUGGGCGCAAGCCUGAUCCAGCCAUGCCGCGUGAGUGACGAAGGCCUUAGGGUUGUAAAGCUCUUUUGUCCGGGACGAUAAUGACGGUACCGGAAGAAUAAGCCCCGGCUAACCUCGUG